This is a small nucleolar RNA of Jaculus jaculus (lesser Egyptian jerboa), 204 nucleotides long. Its record names the gene SNORA73. It matches the Rfam family "Small nucleolar RNA SNORA73 family". Rfam says of the family: U17 (SNORA73A and SNORA73B) also known as E1 belongs to the H/ACA class of small nucleolar RNAs (snoRNAs). Vertebrate U17 is intron-encoded and ranges in length from 200-230 nucleotides, longer than most snoRNAs. Lineage: Eukaryota; Metazoa; Chordata; Mammalia; Rodentia; Dipodidae. The record is from Ensembl.
CCAAUGUGAAUAACCUGAGUGGUCUCUCUCCCUGGGUUCUGUCCACGUGCCUCAGGGGAGCACAGGGCUCGGCCCCACGAAGCACAGUCCCUUUCCGCAAUGUUGAGGAUGAAGCUAGGCCUGUGAGUCUGUGCCUACCUAUUCCUCUGACUCUCACAGUCCUAUGGAUGAUGACUGAGGAGACAGACCAUGCAGGAGACAAUG